RNAcentral lists this transfer RNA (88 nucleotides) under Muribaculaceae bacterium Isolate-004 (NCI). Its description in RNAcentral is "tRNA-Ala". It matches the Rfam family "tRNA". Rfam says of the family: Transfer RNA (tRNA) molecules are approximately 80 nucleotides in length. Lineage: Bacteria; Pseudomonadati; Bacteroidota; Bacteroidia; Bacteroidales; Muribaculaceae. The record is from RNAcentral.
GGGAAAGUAGCUCAGAGGCCAGAGCACUGGUGCGCACCGCUUGACCGAGCAGUCAGGGUCGUGGGUUCGACUCCCACCUUUCCCACAA